This 253-nucleotide ribosomal RNA is filed under the name uncultured bacterium. RNAcentral's name for it is "partial 16S ribosomal RNA". It matches the Rfam family "Bacterial small subunit ribosomal RNA", at positions 524 to 776 of the family's 1533-position model. The record is from RNAcentral.
UACGUAGGGUGCAAGCGUUAAUCGGAAUUACUGGGCGUAAAGCGUGCGCAGGCGGCUUUGCAAGACAGAUGUGAAAUCCCCGGGCUCAACCUGGGAACUGCAUUUGUGACUGCAUCGCUGGAGUGCGGCAGAGGGGGAUGGAAUUCCACGUGUAGCAGUGAAAUGCGUAGAGAUGUGGAGGAACACCGAUGGCGAAGGCAGCCCCCUGGGCUAACACUGACGCUCAUGCACGAAAGCGUGGGGAGCAAACAGG